CUCUCUCUAGGUUUCUUUUCUCUACAAAAAUGGAUGAUUUAAGUGGAUUUUUCUCCCCUUGUUGAUGUUAGCUUAUUAGAAGCACCUUGGGCUGCUGAGGGAGUAAGGAACAGAAGUUUUGAAAGGUACUUCACAGUCCUGAACCUAGCUGUAACUCGGGUGGAGCCUUGGAGUGCUGUGUGGUGAGAGUUCAGCAACCUUGGAAGGAGGUAAGGGCUGUGGAGCUUCAAUUUGAAGUUGGAGAAAGGUACUACUCAAGCUGUAAAAGGUUUAUUCCGUUCUUUGAGCUGAGUUGACGAAGUGUGAAGCUGAAUUUGAGUACUCCUAUCUUCAGCAAAGCUAAGGGUUCAUGUGGGGGGGAUUUAAACAAGCUUGCGACAGGGCAUUGGACAGCUCUCGACUUAAAUUAGGAGCUUGGAAAGGGUAAUUUAGUGUCUUCAUUGAAACCGAAGUAAGGGUUAAAAGCUGCAGCCUGGCACAAGCAGGUUUGGUGCUUAUUUGGAAACAAUUGGUGAAACCCCUGAAGCCGAAUUUGGGCUGAUCUGAGAAGGAUCCAACUUGGAUUAGGCUGAGGUUUAGUUUAAACUAAACCUAGGGAUUUUGGAUGCUUCAGACUGUCUACAAUCGUGGAAACAAGGAGAAUCGUCGAUUAAUAGAGCUAUCUACAGGAGAGGCUAGGGAUCGUGGCAAGGGAGUCGCGUUUAGCUGGACAUUGCUAGGGGCAUGCUAGUUGAUCACCUUGCUACUCGGGAUACUGCCGAGGGUGAUGUCCAGUGUAUAGAGUGACU
Molecule: long non-coding RNA, 788 nt
Organism: Ananas comosus (pineapple)
Lineage: Eukaryota; Viridiplantae; Streptophyta; Magnoliopsida; Poales; Bromeliaceae
Exons: 7
Source: RefSeq, a predicted model, not a curated record